RNAcentral lists this long non-coding RNA (236 nucleotides) under Salvia miltiorrhiza (redroot sage). Its description in RNAcentral is "long non-coding RNA (SMIL_LNC013199)". The record is from RNAcentral. Lineage: Eukaryota; Viridiplantae; Streptophyta; Magnoliopsida; Lamiales; Lamiaceae.
UUCUUCUUCUCUAUUUAUCUUCCUUCUCCAAUCGACAGCUUCUCAAUAUUUGUGAAGAAACCGGAAAAAGAUAAAAUAAAAGGAGCGAGAAGAAAAUCUUCAUAUACCAAAAAGUAUACCUUUCUUACCGACAGUGUUUAUGUUUUGAUAUGAUGCACCAACUAUGUUCUCUUGCGACUACAUAUCUCAAAUAGAUACAAAAAUAUUUUGAAUUUAGCCCUUGCUCUUGCUUCUGG